GACGAACGCUGGCGGCGUGCUUAACACAUGCAAGUCGAACGAAAAGUUCCUGGUUCUUGCGCCGGCAAGACUGAGCGGCGAGCGGGUGACUAACACGUAAAGAACCUGCCUUUUAGACUGGGACAACUAAUGGAAACGAUAACUCAUAACGGAUAACAGCAUUAACUGCAUGGUUGAUGAUUGUAAGUGGGUUUUGCUAACACCAUGAGAUUGCUUUGCGGUGCAUUGGCUAGUUGGUGGGGUAAAGGUCUACCAAGGCGGCGAUGCAUAGCCGACCUGAGUGGGUGAUGGGCCACACUGGGACGGAGACACGGCCCUGGGUCCUACGGGAGGCAGCAGUAGGGAAUCGUCCGCAAUGGGGGAAAGCCUGACGGAGCGGCGGCACGUGAGUGAAGAAAGAUUUCGGUUCGGAAAGCUGUGUUGUUAGGGGAGAAUGAUUGUGUAGUAACUAUACACGGGAGUGACGGUACCGGGUAAGGAAGCAACGGCUAACUACGUG
This 499-nucleotide ribosomal RNA is filed under the name uncultured bacterium. RNAcentral's name for it is "partial 16S ribosomal RNA". It matches the Rfam family "Bacterial small subunit ribosomal RNA", at positions 28 to 507 of the family's 1533-position model. The record is from RNAcentral.